AGCGCACACGGUGGAUGCCUAGGCGGUCAGAGGCGAUGAAGGACGUGGUAGCCUGCGAAAAGUGUCGGGGAGCUGGCAACAAGCUUUGAUCCGGCAAUAUCCGAAUGGGGAAACCCACUGCUUCGGCAGUAUCCUGCAGUGAAUUCAUAGCUGCUGGAAGCGAACCCGGUGAACUGAAAUAUCUAAGUAACCGGAGGAAAAGAAAUCAACCGAGAUUCCCUAAGUAGUGACGAGCGAACGGGGAGCAGCCCUUAAGCUGGAAUGGCUUUAGAAAAACAAUCUGGAAAGAUUGGCCAUAGAAGGUGAUAGCCCUGUAUUUAAAAGGGCCACUCCAGUGAAGACGAGUAGGGCGGGGCACGUGAAACCCUGUCUGAAUAUGGGGGGACCAUCCUCCAAGGCUAAAUACUCCUGACCGACCGAUAGUGAACCAGUACCGUGAGGGAAAGGCGAAAAGAACCCCGGAGAGGGGAGUGAAAUAGAUCCUGAAACCGUGUGCGUACAAGCAGUAGGAGCUCGCAAGAGUGACUGCGUACCUUUUGUAUAAUGGGUCAGCGACUUACUGUUCGUGGCAAGCUUAACCGUAUAGGGGAGGCGAAGGGAAACCGAGUCUGAUAAGGGCGCAUAGUCGCGGGCAGUAGACCCGAAACCGGGUGAUCUAGUCAUGGCCAGGGUGAAGGUGCCGUAACAGGUACUGGAGGCCCGAACCCACGUCUGUUGCAAAAGACGGGGAUGAGCUGUGAUUAGGAGUGAAAAGCUAAUCGAACCCGGAGAUAGCUGGUUCUCCUCGAAAGCUAUUUAGGUAGCGCCUCGGACGAAUACUACUGGGGGUAGAGCACUGUUAUGGCUAGGGGGUCAUCGCGACUUACCAAACCAUUGCAAACUCCGAAUACCAGUACGUACUAUCCGGGAGACACACGGCGGGUGCUAACGUCCGUCGUGAAAAGGGAAACAACCCAGACCCACAGCUAAGGUCCCAAAUUCACUGCUAAGUGGAAAACGAUGUGGAAAGGCAUAGACAGCCAGGAGGUUGGCUUAGAAGCAGCCACCCUUUAAAGAAAGCGUAAUAGCUCACUGGUCGAGUCGGUCUGCGCGGAAGAUUUAACGGGGCUAAGCAGUGAACCGAAGCUUGGGGUGCAUAAAACUUGUUUUAUGCGCGGUAGAGGAGCGUUCCGUAAGCCUGCGAAGGUGGAUUGAGAAGUCUGCUGGAGGUAUCGGAAGUGCGAAUGCUGACAUGAGUAACGAUAAUGCGGGUGAAAAGCCCGCACGCCGAAAGCCCAAGGUUUCCUUGCGCAACGUUAAUCGACGCAGGGUUAGUCGGUCCCUAAGGCGAGGGCGAAAGCCGUAGUCGAUGGGAAGCAGGUUAAUAUUCCUGCACCUCGCGUGAGUGCGAUGGAGGGACGGAGAAGGUUAGGUGUACCGGGCGUUGGUUGUCCCGGGGAAAGGCGGUAGGUUUGGAUCUUUGGCAAAUCCGGGAUCCUUUAAGACAGAGCACCGAGACGAGCCUUUAUGGCGAAGUCACUGAUACCACGCUUCCAGGAAAAGCUCCUAAGCUUCAGCUCACGAAGACCGUACCGUAAACCGACACAGGUGGGUAGGAUGAGAAUUCUCAGGCGCUUGAGAGAACUCGGGUGAAGGAACUAGGCAACAUGGCACCGUAACUUCGGGAGAAGGUGCACCCUUUUUGGUGGCUCAUGCGAGCUAUAGCUGAAGAGGGUCGCAGAAACCAGGCCGCUGCGACUGUUUAUCAAAAACACAGCACUCUGCAAACACGAAAGUGGACGUAUAGGGUGUGACGCCUGCCCGGUGCUGGAAGGUUAAUUGAUGGGGUCAGCCGCAAGGCGAAGCUCUUGAUCGAAGCCCCAGUAAACGGCGGCCGUAACUAUAACGGUCCUAAGGUAGCGAAAUUCCUUGUCGGGUAAGUUCCGACCUGCACGAAUGGCGUAACGACAGCGGCGCUGUCUCCACCCGAGACUCAGUGAAAUUGAAAUCGCUGUGAAGAUGCAGCGUUCCCGUGGCAAGACGGAAAGACCCCGUGAACCUUUACUAUAGCUUUACACUGAACGUUGAGUUCGUCUGUGUAGGAUAGGUGGGAGGCUAUGAAACUGUGGCGCUAGCUGCAGUGGAGCCAUCCUUGAAAUACCACCCUGUCGUGCUUGACGUUCUAACCUAGAUCCGUUAUCCGGAUCAGGGACCGUGUAUGGUGGGUAGUUUGACUGGGGCGGUCUCCUCCUAAAGAGUAACGGAGGAGCACGAAGGUACGCUCAGCGCGGUCGGACAUCGCGCACUGUGUGCAAAGGCAUAAGCGUGCUUGACUGCAAGAUCGACGGAUCAAGCAGGUACGAAAGUAGGUCUUAGUGAUCCGGUGGUUCUGUAUGGAAGGGCCAUCGCUCAACGGAUAAAAGGUACUCCGGGGAUAACAGGCUGAUACCGCCCAAGAGUUCAUAUCGACGGCGGUGUUUGGCACCUCGAUGUCGGCUCAUCACAUCCUGGGGCUGUAGUCGGUCCCAAGGGUAUGGCUGUUCGCCAUUUAAAGUGGUACGCGAGCUGGGUUCAGAACGUCGUGAGACAGUUCGGUCCCUAUCUGCCAUGGGCGUUGGAAGUUUGAGAGGGGCUGCUCCUAGUACGAGAGGACCGGAGUGGACGAACCUCUGGUGUUCCGGUUGUCACGCCAGUGGCAUUGCCGGGUAGCUAUGUUCGGAAGCGAUAACCGCUGAAAGCAUCUAAGCGGGAAGCGCGCCUCAAGAUGAGACUUCCCGGGGCACAAGCCCCCUAAAGGAACCAUAUAGACUAUGUGGUUGAUAGGUCAGGUGUGUAAGUACAGCAAUGUAUUGAGCUAACUGAUACUAAUGAUCCGUGCGGCUUGACC
Molecule: ribosomal RNA, 2866 nt
Filed under: Xanthomonas arboricola
Lineage: Bacteria; Pseudomonadati; Pseudomonadota; Gammaproteobacteria; Lysobacterales; Lysobacteraceae
Description: bacterial LSU rRNA
Rfam family: Bacterial large subunit ribosomal RNA
Source: RNAcentral